Asparagus officinalis (garden asparagus) is the source of this 944-nucleotide RNA transcript. RefSeq lists it as uncharacterized. The transcript has 3 exons. The record is from RefSeq and is a predicted model, not a curated record. Lineage: Eukaryota; Viridiplantae; Streptophyta; Magnoliopsida; Asparagales; Asparagaceae.
AGACUAUCUUAACGCCACGCUGAAUCAUCAUCAUCCCGAUGAUGUUUUGUUAGAAAUCCUAUCAAAAUUACCCAUCAGAUCCUUGCUCAGAUUCCAGUGCGUGUCGAAAUCAUGGCGAUCCCUAAUCUCCGACCCCCAAUCCCACAAGAAGCUGCCGCCGGCGAUGGCCGGCCUCUUCUCCGCCGGCGCCAGCCCCAAAUUCGUCUCCCUCGCUUCUCGAUCCUUCGUCGAUCUGGCCAAAUCCAAAAGCGGGCGAAAAUCCCAAAGCCGCCCAGGGCUUCCAUCGAGCUGGCCCUUGCUUUCAAUCCCAAUUCCGAUACCCGCUCCUUCAAGAUCGUAUCUUUCCCGUUGCCGGGGGAUGAUCCCGUGCGCCGCUGGGGCUCCGACGAGGUCGGCGUCUUCUCGUCGGAUACCGGCAGCUGGAGCACUGUCGGUGGAAUCGCCGGCCUCAGUGAGGCUGGAACAUUCUUUUAUUCACCAACAAACACUUCCGGCAGAUUACGAGCAUAUCAAUAACAUAUAUGCAUGGUAAUUAAGAUUUAUCAGAAUCCAUGUACAUCAAACUGACUCACAUUGCUGACUAUGCUCCUUCGCUGCAUCUGCAGAUCAUGGCCGUCCUUUACAAAUUCCAUCAUGGCAGAUGCUCAUUGUGCAACAAAUUUUCAGCACCAGGUUCAUCAUGGGCUCAUUGUGCAACAAAGGUAAUUUCCGGAUUAUAACAUUUUAGCCUAUUUUUUAAAGUAGUUGUGGAGGCUGAAGAUCAAAUCAUGUGAUAACAAUGUUAGUUUCCUUUCAGCUAUAUUGGAUAACGUGUUUGUCAAAAUAUUUGCAAUGUCUUAUUAAUGCUGUUUAUAAGUAACUGAUUCAUAGUCUUGUGCCUUCCAACACAAGUUAAAACUUAUUUUAGUAGAUCUCAAAUAUAGUAUCAUACUACUUGAAAUAGA